GACGAACGCUGGCGGCGUGCUUAACACAUGCAAGUCGAACGGAAAGGCCCUGCUUUUGUGGGGUGCUCGAGUGGCGAACGGGUGAGUAACACGUGAGUAACCUGCCCUUGACUUUGGGAUAACUUCAGGAAACUGGGGCUAAUACCGGAUAGGAGCUCCUGCUGCAUGGUGGGGGUUGGAAAGUUUCGGCGGUUGGGGAUGGACUCGCGGCUUAUCAGCUUGUUGGUGGGGUAGUGGCUUACCAAGGCUUUGACGGGUAGCCGGCCUGAGAGGGUGACCGGCCACAUUGGGACUGAGAUACGGCCCAGACUCCUACGGGAGGCAGCAGUGGGGAAUAUUGCACAAUGGGCGGAAGCCGGAUGCAGCAACGCCGCGUGCGGGAUGACGGCCUUCGGGUUGUAAACCGCUUUCGCCUGUGACGAAGCGUGAGUGACGGUAAUGGGUGAGAAGCACCGGCUAACUACGUG
This 467-nucleotide ribosomal RNA is filed under the name uncultured bacterium. RNAcentral describes it as "partial 16S ribosomal RNA". It matches the Rfam family "Bacterial small subunit ribosomal RNA", at positions 28 to 507 of the family's 1533-position model. The record is from RNAcentral.